AGCGAACGCUGGCGGCAGGCCUAACACAUGCAAGUCGAACGACCCUUUCGGAGUUAGUGGCGGACGGGUGAGUAACACGUGGGACCGUGCCUUUAGGCUCGGAAUAACACAGGGAAACUGGGGCUAAUACCGAAUAUGUCCUUCGGGGGCAAGAUUCAUCGUCGUUAGAGCGGCCCGCGUCUGCUUAGCUAGUUGGUUGAGGUAAUGGCUCACCAAGGUGACGAUCAGUAGAUGGUCUGAGAGGAUGAGCAGCGACAUUGGGACUGGGACGCGGCGCAAACUCUUGCGGGAGGCGGGAGUGGGUGAUCUAGCGCAACGGGCGAAAGCCUGACGCAGUCAUGCCGCGUGAAUGAUGAAGGUCUGAGGAUUGUGAAAUUCUUUCACCGGGGACGAUAAUGACGGUACCCAAAGAAUAAGCCCCGGCUAACUUCGUG
Molecule: ribosomal RNA, 434 nt
Filed under: uncultured bacterium
Lineage: Bacteria
Description: partial 16S ribosomal RNA
Rfam family: Bacterial small subunit ribosomal RNA
Source: RNAcentral